Molecule: ribosomal RNA, 253 nt
Filed under: uncultured bacterium
Lineage: Bacteria
Description: partial 16S ribosomal RNA
Rfam family: Bacterial small subunit ribosomal RNA
Source: RNAcentral
UACGUAGGGGGCAAGCGUUGUCCGGAUUUAUUGGGCGUAAAGAGCGUGUAGGCGGCUUGGCAAGUCCGCUGUGAAACCUCGAGGCUUAACCUCGAGCCUGCAUUUGAUACUGGGCGGCUAGAGUCUGGUAGGGGGAUCUGGAAUUCCUGGUGUAGCGGUGGAAUGCGCAGAUAUCAGGAGGAACACCGGUGGCGAAGGCGGGAUCCUGGGCCAGUACUGACGCUGAGGAGCGAAAGCGUGGGGAGCAAACAGG